CCUGAACGCUGGCGGCGUGGCUAAGACAUGCAAGUCGCACGGGCCCAGCAAUGGGCCAGUGGCGAACGGGUGAGUAAUGAAUCGCUAACGUGCCCCGGACUCCGGGAUAGCCGUCCGAAAGGGCGGGUAAUACCGGGUAACAUCACUGCCUCGCAUGAGGCGGUGCUCAAAGGUCCGCCGGUCUGGGAGCGGGCGAUUUCGUAUCAGCUAGUUGGUGGGGUAACGGCCCACCAAGGCGACGACGCGUAGCCGGACUGAGAGGUUGGCCGGCCACAUCGGGGACUGAGACACUGCCCGGACUCCUACGGGGGGCUGCAGUAACGAAUCUUCCGCAAUGCACGAAAGUGUGACGGAGCGACGCCGCGUGUGGGACGAAGCCCUUCGGGUGUAAACCACUGUCAGGGUUACCAAGUUCUGAGGAACCCCAGAGGAAGGCACGGCUAACUCUGUGCCA
RNAcentral lists this ribosomal RNA (454 nucleotides) under uncultured bacterium. RNAcentral describes it as "bacterial SSU rRNA". It matches the Rfam family "Bacterial small subunit ribosomal RNA", at positions 30 to 510 of the family's 1533-position model. The record is from RNAcentral.